AGAGGAAGUAAAAGUCGUAACAAGGUCUCCGUUGGUGAACCAGCGGAGGGAUCAUUACUGAGUUUACGCUCUACAACCCUUUGUGAACAUACCUACAACUGUUGCUUCGGCGGGUAGGGUCUCCGCGACCCUCCCGGCCUCCCGCCUCCGGGCGGGUCGGCGCCCGCCGGAGGAUAACCAAACUCUGAUUUAACGACGUUUCUUCUGAGUGGUACAAGCAAAUAAUCAAAACUUUUAACAACGGAUCUCUUGGUUCUGGCAUCGAUGAAGAACGCAGCGAAAUGCGAUAAGUAAUGUGAAUUGCAGAAUUCAGUGAAUCAUCGAAUCUUUGAACGCACAUUGCGCCCGCCAGCAUUCUGGCGGGCAUGCCUGUUCGAGCGUCAUUUCAACCCUCAAGCUCUGCUUGGUGUUGGGGCCCUACAGCCGAUGUAGGCCCUCAAAGGUAGUGGCGGACCCUCCCGGAGCCUCCUUUGCGUAGUAACUUUACGUCUCGCACUGGGAUCCGGAGGGACUCUUGCCGUAAAACCCCCCAAUUUUCCAAAGGUUGACCUCGGAUCAGGUAGGAAUACCCGCUGAACUUAAGCAUAUCA
This 590-nucleotide ribosomal RNA is filed under the name Colletotrichum gloeosporioides. RNAcentral's name for it is "eukaryotic LSU rRNA". The stretch from base 230 to 383 matches the Rfam family "5.8S ribosomal RNA". The record is from RNAcentral. Lineage: Eukaryota; Fungi; Ascomycota; Sordariomycetes; Glomerellales; Glomerellaceae.